GACGAACGCUGGCGGCGUGCUUAACACAUGCAAGUCGAACGGAAAGGCCCUGCUUUUGUGGGGUGCUCGAGUGGCGAACGGGGAGUAACACGUGAGUAACCUGCCCUUGACUUUGGGAUAACUUUAGGAAACUGGGGCUAAUACCGGAUAGGAGCUCCUGCUGCAUGGUGGGGGUUGGAAAGUUUCGGCGGUUGGGGAUGGACUCGCGGCUUAUCAGCUUGUUGGUGGGGUAGUGGCUUACCAAGGCUUUGACGGGUAGCCGGCCUGAGAGGGUGACCGGCCACAUUGGGACUGAGAUACGGCCCAGACUCCUACGGGAGGCAGCAGUGGGGAAUAUGGCACAAUGGGCGGAAGCCUGAUGCAGCAACGCCGCGUGCGGGAUGACGGCCUUCGGGUUGUAAACCGCUUUCGCCUGUGACGAAGCGUGAGUGACGGUAAUGGGUAAAGAAGCACCGGCUAACUACGUG
This 467-nucleotide ribosomal RNA is filed under the name uncultured bacterium. RNAcentral's name for it is "partial 16S ribosomal RNA". It matches the Rfam family "Bacterial small subunit ribosomal RNA", at positions 28 to 507 of the family's 1533-position model. The record is from RNAcentral.